CAUUAACGUAUUUUGUAGUAUUAUCUUAGUUUAGUAACUAAAAUGGUUUGGCAGUGAGUGAUUCUUUUUAGGGGAAGGUGUGGUGUAAAGGAUGUUCCGCCUAUUAAUUUACUUUUAUUAUGUUGGUGUAUAUCUGGUUUAAUAUUAUCGUUGAAUGACAUAAGUUUGUGUAGGUUUUAGUUAAGCUAAGUCUAUGUGCUGCUUAUAAAAGUAUGCAUGCGUUACAUUGAUAAAGUUUUAGUUGUAAGUGCUAUUAUAUUCAGGACUUAAAAGUAAUGUUAAAUUAGUUUGUUAAUGUGAAAUAAGUUUAGCUCAUGUACACACCGCCCGUCACCCUCGAUUUUUAUUGAG
This 351-nucleotide ribosomal RNA is filed under the name Taenia asiatica. RNAcentral describes it as "partial 12S rRNA". The record is from RNAcentral. Lineage: Eukaryota; Metazoa; Platyhelminthes; Cestoda; Cyclophyllidea; Taeniidae.